Molecule: unclassified non-coding RNA, 618 nt
Filed under: Thelephora terrestris
Lineage: Eukaryota; Fungi; Basidiomycota; Agaricomycetes; Thelephorales; Thelephoraceae
Description: sequence contains ITS1, 5.8S rRNA gene, ITS2
Rfam family: 5.8S ribosomal RNA (bases 204-358)
Source: RNAcentral
CAUUACUGAAUUGUCAAACGGGUUGUUGCUGGCCCUCAUAGGGGGCAUGUGCACGCUCUGUUUACACAUCCACUCACACCUGUGCACCCUCUGUAGUUCUAUGGUCUGGGGGACCCUGUCUUCCUUCUGUGGUUCUACGUCUCUACACACACACUGUAAUAAAGUUUUAUGGAAUGUACAUCGCGUCUAACGCAAUACAAUACAACUUUCAGCAACGGAUCUCUUGGCUCUCGCAUCGAUGAAGAACGCAGCGAAAUGCGAUAAGUAAUGUGAAUUGCAGAAUUCAGUGAAUCAUCGAAUCUUUGAACGCACCUUGCGCCCCUUGGCUAUUCCGAGGGGCAUGCCUGUUUGAGUAUCAUGAACACCUCAACUCUCAUGGUUUGCCAUGAUGAGUUGGACUCUGGGGGUUUUGCUGGCCUGUGGUCGGCUCCUCUCAAAUUAAUCAGCCUCCCAGUGUUUGGUGGCAUCACGGGUGUGAUAAAUAUCUACGCUCGCUGUUGUCUGCCAGGUAACCUUUGGUCACAAAGGUUUGCUGGAGCUCACAGAUGUCUCUCCUCAGCGAGGACAGCUUUUUUAACGUUCGAUCUCAAAUCUAGGACUACGCUGAACUUAAGCAUA